GCCGAGUGUGGUGGCCCACGCCUGUAAUCCCAGCACUUUAGGAGGCUGAGGUGGGAGGAUCACUUGAGUCCAGGAGUUCAAGACCAGCCUGGGCAACAUAGUGAAACCCCAUCUCUA
Unclassified non-coding RNA from Pongo abelii (Sumatran orangutan), 117 nucleotides. It matches the Rfam family "Metazoan signal recognition particle RNA". From Rfam's summary of the family: The signal recognition particle (SRP) is a universally conserved ribonucleoprotein. It is involved in the co-translational targeting of proteins to membranes. Lineage: Eukaryota; Metazoa; Chordata; Mammalia; Primates; Hominidae. The record is from Ensembl.